Daphnia magna is the source of this 630-nucleotide long non-coding RNA. RefSeq lists it as uncharacterized. The record is from RefSeq and is a predicted model, not a curated record. Lineage: Eukaryota; Metazoa; Arthropoda; Branchiopoda; Diplostraca; Daphniidae. The transcript has 3 exons.
AGGAAGGGGAUCAGUAGUAUAUCGUCUGCCAUAGUCGUAACAUUUGGUGACGCAGAUUACAAUCAUUAGAUUGAACCAUAUCAACUCAUCACUUCCCCGUUUAACCUGGAAGAAUCGUAUUAAUCAUGAAUCUUCCAUGUGCAAAGCGAGCGUCUUCCUUCUUUUGUUUUGAAAGAAUCGCCAGAUCGCUCGUGAUUGGCCCAUUGUUUAGAGGAGCCUUGGCCAACUUUUAAGGGUUCACGUCGAACUCAAUUUUUCGCAACUAUCUUUUUCCCCGUGCCAUGAUGAAAGCUACACUGACCAAUAUGGCCGGCAUCAAGAUGUUUGACGGUCACGUAGUGUUUGAAUUGCAACACGGGGCAGCUAAAAAUAAAAUGAAUACUUUAGGUAAACAACGUAUUCCAGUUUCAUUUGUCUUUCGUCACACAUUUACACGGAACCUGUAAAUUUAAGUAUCUCUAAAAAUGCGUCGUUUUAAGUCGACGAAGGAACGUUUCUCUGAAGAGAGAGGGAGGGGAUGACAAAAUUCCAACUACGCAGUUUCUUUCAAACGAAAUGCGCAUUUAGUCCAGAGUAUCCACAGUGGCACACGAAUCGCUUUUCAGUUGGCGAUUCGACUUUCUUCCAAGU